Molecule: ribosomal RNA, 466 nt
Filed under: uncultured bacterium
Lineage: Bacteria
Description: partial 16S ribosomal RNA
Rfam family: Bacterial small subunit ribosomal RNA
Source: RNAcentral
GACGAACGCUGGCGGCGUGCUUAACACAUGCAAGUCGAACGGAAAGGCCCUGCUUGCAGGGUACUCGAGUGGCGAACGGGUGAGUAACACGUGGGUGAUCUGCCCUGCACUUCGGGAUAAGCUUGGGAAACUGGGUCUAAUACCGGAUAGGAGCCAUCUUUAGUGUGGUGGUUGGAAAGUUUUUUCGGUGUAGGAUGAGCUCGCGGCCUAUCAGCUUGUUGGUGGGGUAAUGGCCUACCAAGGCGGCGACGGGUAGCCGGCCUGAGAGGGUGUACGGCCACAUUGGGACUGAGAGACGGCCCAGACUCCUACGGGGGGCAGCAGUGGGGAAUAUUGCACAAUGGGCGCAAGCCUGAUGCAGCGACGCCGCGUGGGGGAUGAAGGCCUUCGGGUUGUAAACUCCUUUCGCUAGGGACGAAGCUUUGUUGUGACGGUACCUAGAUAAGAAGCACCGGCUAACUACGUG